GUGACAUGAAGCUAAGGGUUGCUUAUGCUUAGCCCUGCCCUGUCCCUGGCUAGGAAGGAGGCCACGUCAGUGGCCACAGGGGCCUCCGGGAGCUGGAAAUAACUGCAUUGGUAACCUCCACCCAACUCCCCACACAGAGCUGGAGCAAAUUCGAAUUUUCUCUGUCAAUAAGAAGGGUACACUGGGAGGGAGGGCCAUACUUAUCAUCUCAGGAUUUGGGUAGCUGAGGCAGGAGAAUUGCCUCAAGUUUAAGGUCAGCCAGGGCUACAGAGUGAGACCCUGUCCAACAACAACAAAGAUGCUGUCCAGCUGUGGGGGAGAACCUGGAAAUGAGGUGACAGCUAAGUCUGAGGGGGGACUCAGUGAGUUUUCCCUCAGCUAAGGUCCGGGCCUGCCGGUCUGGUAGGUCUUCCCUGCAUGUCCACAGCCCUGCGUUGAGGACACCUCACACCCUGCUCCUCUGAGGUCAAACACCCUCUUCUUCAGCUUGAUACACUCCUCUCGCAGGUCCUGUCCGCCCAGGAGUGAAGGCUUAACCGAGCAGGCCUCUGGAGUCCCAGGAUGGCCCCGACUACAUCCUGGUCUAUCUGGGGCGGUUGGGUGGCAGCAUGAGAGCUUCCUGGAUCCGCUCACCUUCUGGUUCAGUAGUGCCUGCACCACGUGGUUGGCCACCUGGGGACAGAAAGCCGCGGAGCUGAGCUGGUGCCGUGUCCACCCAUCCCAUCCCCAGCACUGUCCUUUGGCACACCCCACAGACCUCAUCCAGACAGCGCUCGCUGCCAGCCGAGCUGGCGAGUGAAGAGGAAGGAAGCGCUUUUCAGGGGAACUUCACCAAGCCCCCGGCCUCCUCCAGCCUGGCGAGCCUUCUCCACACUGACCUGGGUGGGCAGCCCUGACUCCAGGGUCCUGGCCGGCACUGCUGCCCCACCCCGUCUGCCACCACACACCUCCAGCUCCCGAAGUCGGUGCAGAAGCUCGUGGCAGGUGCCCAGCUCCACGCUGCAAUCAUCACCAGCCGCUGGCCUCAGGCUUCCAGUGCCCCCCGCGGGCGGCUCCAUGGCCUUGGGUGUCAGGCCCUGGGAACAAGAGAGCGAAGCCCUGGCAGGGUACUCACAGGCAAGAGGAGAAAUGAGAAGGAGGAUGACAAACUCUUGGGUGACCCGUCACACUUGGGGUGAUGUAACAACUCAGGUCAGGCUGGGCGACCCCAGCUCUUCCCCACACCCUGCUUAGGGGCCUAGACCCCCAAUUCUCUGCUAGGAUCCACCACAAACUGGCAAAUCAAUCAGCUGCCCUGUGAAGCGAUGUCCCUGUUUACAAAAUAACACCAACUUCAACCGA
Molecule: long non-coding RNA, 1341 nt
Organism: Peromyscus eremicus (cactus mouse)
Lineage: Eukaryota; Metazoa; Chordata; Mammalia; Rodentia; Cricetidae
Exons: 4
Source: RefSeq, a predicted model, not a curated record